GACGAACGCUGGCGGCGUGCCUAAUACAUGCAAGUCGAGCGAGCUUGCCUAGAUGAUUUUGAUGCUUGCAUCAAAUGAAACUAGAUACAAGCUAGCGGCGGACGGGUGAGUAACACGUGGGUAACCUGCCCAAGAGACUGGGAUAACAUCUGGAAACAGAUGCUAAUACCGGAUAACAACAAUAGACGCACGUCUAGAGUUUGAAAGAUGGGUUUUCUAUCACUCUUGGAUGGACCUGCGGUGCAUUAGAUAGUUGGUAAGGUAACGGCUUACCAAGGCAAUGAUGGAUAGCCGAGUUGAGAGACUGAUCGGCCACAUUGGGACUGAGACACGGCCCAAACUCCUACGGGAGGCAGCAGUAGGGAAUCUUCCACAAUGGACGAAAGUCUGAUGGAGCAACGCCGCGUGAGUGAAGAAGGGUUUCGGCUCGUAAAGCUCUGUUGAUGGUGAAGAAAGAUAGAGGUAGUAACUGGCCUUUAUUUGACGGUAAUCAUUUAGAAAGUCACGGCUAACUACGUGCCAGCCGCCGCGGUAA
This 535-nucleotide ribosomal RNA is filed under the name uncultured bacterium. RNAcentral's name for it is "partial 16S ribosomal RNA". It matches the Rfam family "Bacterial small subunit ribosomal RNA", at positions 28 to 523 of the family's 1533-position model. The record is from RNAcentral.